Molecule: non-coding RNA, 387 nt
Organism: Lonchura striata (white-rumped munia)
Lineage: Eukaryota; Metazoa; Chordata; Aves; Passeriformes; Estrildidae
Source: RefSeq, a predicted model, not a curated record
GGAGAAAUCCCAGGCUGAGCUCCUGCAAGAUAAAUUGCACCUGUAUUCUUCACUCACUUUCCUGGCUGCAGGAUCUGCAUGCAAGGCUCCUUCCUCUCCACUGCUUUCAGCCACGAGUCUAAUUGAAAUUCUGUCUCCUUCAGUCUCCAGCUAAUGUCUCCCCAUAUGUCAGAUUAAAAAAAAAAUAAAAAAAAUUACAAGAUGCUGGGCUGUGAAAGGAACUAGGGAAUGCUUAUGUGGUUGCAAGCAGGCUGACCAUUAAAGCGACUUUAUUUCUACAGCAUUUCAGAUGCUGGGCUUGACAGUUUCAUUUCCGAAACUAUUUAUACUCACAAAAAUCCAUAGCAGCAUUUCCAUUAUUUCCUUAUAUGAUUUUUUGCCUAUAUU